Molecule: ribosomal RNA, 260 nt
Filed under: uncultured bacterium
Lineage: Bacteria
Description: partial 16S ribosomal RNA
Rfam family: Bacterial small subunit ribosomal RNA
Source: RNAcentral
UCCUACGGGACGCAGCAGUAGGGAAUCUUCCACAAUGGGCGCAAGCCUGAUGGAGCAACACCGCGUGAGUGAAGAAGGGUUUCGGCUCGUAAAGCUCUGUUGUUGGAGAAGAACGUGCGUGAGAGUAACUGUUCACGCAGUGACGGUAUCCAACCAGAAAGUCACGGCUAACUACGUGCCAGCAGCCGCGGUAAUACGUAGGUGGCAAGCGUUGUUCGGAAUAACUGGGCGUAAAGGAAGCGUAGGCGGUUAAAAAAGUU